UAGUAUUAGACCUCUUCUAGAAUUUGUCUAGUAGGUUUUCCAGUUUCCACCAGAAAACUCCC
Molecule: small nuclear RNA, 62 nt
Organism: Nomascus leucogenys (northern white-cheeked gibbon)
Lineage: Eukaryota; Metazoa; Chordata; Mammalia; Primates; Hylobatidae
Gene: U7
Rfam family: U7 small nuclear RNA
About the family: Animal histone pre-mRNAs are spliced by a different mechanism than nuclear pre-mRNAs and self-splicing introns. This processing involves the U7 snRNP, which contains only one RNA species: U7.
Source: Ensembl